GCCAGGUGUGAUGUUACAUGCCUGUAGUUCCAGCUACUCAAGAGGCUGAAGCAGGUGGAUAGGCUGAGGCCAGGAGUUCCAGACUAUAGUGCACUAUACCCAUUGGGUGUCAGCACAAAGUUCAGCAUCAAUAUGGUGAUGUCACAGGAGUAGAGAAACACCAGGUUGCCUAAGGAGGAGUCAACUAGUCCAGGUUAGAUAUGAAGCAGGUCAAACUCCUAUGCUAAUAAGUGGUGAGAUGUGCUUAUUUAUAGCCACUGUACUCCAGCCUGGGCAGCAUAGUAAGACCCCACCUCU
Molecule: signal recognition particle RNA, 297 nt
Filed under: Carlito syrichta (Philippine tarsier)
Lineage: Eukaryota; Metazoa; Chordata; Mammalia; Primates; Tarsiidae
Description: Metazoan signal recognition particle RNA (ENSTSYG00000029588.1)
Rfam family: Metazoan signal recognition particle RNA
About the family: The signal recognition particle (SRP) is a universally conserved ribonucleoprotein.
Source: RNAcentral